GCCUGGAUAGCUCAGUUGGUAGAGUGCAGCCUUGGUAAGGCUGAGGUCGGCAGUUCAAUCCUGCUUUCAGGCUCCA
RNAcentral lists this transfer RNA (76 nucleotides) under Clostridiales bacterium. Its description in RNAcentral is "tRNA-Thr". It matches the Rfam family "tRNA". Rfam says of the family: Transfer RNA (tRNA) molecules are approximately 80 nucleotides in length. Their secondary structure includes four short double-helical elements and three loops (D, anti-codon, and T loops). RNAcentral also lists the same sequence under 1 other name. Lineage: Bacteria; Bacillati; Bacillota; Clostridia; Eubacteriales. The record is from RNAcentral.